UGGGGAAUAUUGCACAAUGGGCGAAAGCCUGAUGCAGCAACGCCGCGUGAGUGAUGAAGGUCUUCGGAUUGUAAAGCUCUGUCUUUUGGGACGAUAAUGACGGUACCAAAGGAGGAAGCCACGGCUAACUACGUGCCAGCAGCCGCGGUAAUACGUAGGUGGCGAGCGUUGUCCGGAUUUACUGGGCGUAAAGGGUGCGUAGGCGGAUGUUUAAGUGAGAUGUGAAAUACCCGGGCUUAACUUGGGUGCUGCAUUUCAAACUGGAUAUCUAGAGUGCAGGAGAGGAGAAUGGAAUUCCUAGUGUAGCGGUGAAAUGCGUAGAGAUUAGGAAGAACACCAGUGGCGAAGGCGAUUCUCUGGACUGUAACUGACGCUGAGGCAC
This 382-nucleotide ribosomal RNA is filed under the name uncultured bacterium. RNAcentral's name for it is "partial 16S ribosomal RNA". It matches the Rfam family "Bacterial small subunit ribosomal RNA", at positions 355 to 754 of the family's 1533-position model. The record is from RNAcentral.